GUGGGGAAUAUUGGACAAUGGGCGAAAGCCUGAUCCAGCCAUGCCGCGUGUGUGAAGAAGGUCUUCGGAUUGUAAAGCACUUUAAGUUGGGAGGAAGGGCAGUAAGUUAAUACCUUGCUGUUUUGACGUUACUAACAGAAUAAGCACCGGCUAACUUCGUGCCAGCAGCCGCGGUAAUACGAAGGGUGCAAGCGUUAAUCGGAAUUACUGGUCGUAAAGCGCGCGUAGGUGGUUUUGUAAGUUGGAGGUGAAAUCCCCGGGCUCAAACUGGGAACUGCCUCCAAAACUGCAUGACUAGAGUACGGUAGAGGGUAGUGGAAUUUCCUGUGUAGCGGUGAAAUGCGUAGAUAUAGGAAGGAACACCAGUGGCGAAGGCGACUACCUGGACUGAUACUGACACUGAGGUGCGAAAGCGUGGGGAGCAAACAGGAUUAGAUACCCCUGUAGUCC
RNAcentral lists this ribosomal RNA (450 nucleotides) under uncultured bacterium. RNAcentral's name for it is "partial 16S ribosomal RNA". It matches the Rfam family "Bacterial small subunit ribosomal RNA", at positions 354 to 796 of the family's 1533-position model. The record is from RNAcentral.